CGAACCCGGAAGCUAAGCCCUCCAGCGCCGAUGGUACUGCACCCGACAGGGUGUGGGAGAGUAGGACACCGCCGAAC
Molecule: ribosomal RNA, 77 nt
Filed under: Rhodococcoides kyotonense
Lineage: Bacteria; Bacillati; Actinomycetota; Actinomycetes; Mycobacteriales; Nocardiaceae
Source: RNAcentral